This 253-nucleotide ribosomal RNA is filed under the name uncultured bacterium. Its description in RNAcentral is "partial 16S ribosomal RNA". It matches the Rfam family "Bacterial small subunit ribosomal RNA", at positions 524 to 776 of the family's 1533-position model. The record is from RNAcentral.
UACGUAGGGUGCAAGCGUUGUCCGGAAUUAUUGGGCGUAAAGAGCUCGUAGGUGGCCUGUCGCGUCGGCUGUGAAAACUCGGGGCUCAACUCCGAGCUUGCAGUCGAUACGGGCAGGCUAGAGUUCGGCAGGGGAGACUGGAAUUCCUGGUGUAGCGGUGAAAUGCGCAGAUAUCGAUCGGAACACCCAUGGCGAAGGCAGCUCGCUGGCCUGCAACUGACGCUGAGGCGCGAAAGCGUGGGGAGCAAACAGG